UACGUAGGGCGCAAGCGUUAUCCGGAAUUAUUGGGCGUAAAGAGCUCGUAGGCGGUUUGUCGCGUCUGCUGUGAAAGACCGGGGCUCAACUCCGGUUCUGCAGUGGGUACGGGCAGACUAGAGUGAUGUAGGGGAGACUGGAAUUCCUGGUGUAGCGGUGAAAUGCGCAGAUAUCAGGAGGAACACCAGUGGCGAAAGCGCGAGACUGGGCUGUAACUGACGCUGAGGAACGAAAGCCAGGGUAGCAAAAGGG
Molecule: ribosomal RNA, 253 nt
Filed under: uncultured bacterium
Lineage: Bacteria
Description: partial 16S ribosomal RNA
Rfam family: Bacterial small subunit ribosomal RNA
Source: RNAcentral